This 549-nucleotide ribosomal RNA is filed under the name uncultured bacterium. Its description in RNAcentral is "bacterial SSU rRNA". It matches the Rfam family "Bacterial small subunit ribosomal RNA", at positions 355 to 896 of the family's 1533-position model. The record is from RNAcentral.
UGGGGAAUUUUGGACAAUGGGCGCAAGCCUGAUCCAGCCAUGCCGCGUGUCUGAAGAAGGCCUUCGGGUUGUAAAGGACUUUUGUCAGGGAAGAAAAGGACAGGGUUAAUACCUCUGUUUGAUGACGGUACCUGAAGAAUAAGCACCGGCUAACUACGUGCCAGCAGCCGCGGUAAUACGUAGGGUGCGAGCGUUAAUCGGAAUUACUGGGCGUAAAGCGAGCGCAGACGGUUACUUAAGCAGGAUGUGAAAUCCCCGGGCUCAACCUGGGAACUGCGUUCUGAACUGGGUGACUAGAGUGUGUCAGAGGGAGGUAGAAUUCCACGUGUAGCAGUGAAAUGCGUAGAGAUGUGGAGGAAUACCCAUGGCGAAGGCAGCCUCCUGGGAUAACACUGACGUUCAUGCUCGAAAGCGUGGGUAGCAAACAGGAUUAGAUACCCUGGUAGUCCACGCCCUAAACGAUGUCAAUUAGCUGUUGGGCAACUUGAUUGCUUAGUAGCGUAGCUAACGCGUGAAAUUGACCGCCUGGGGAGUACGGUCGCAAGAUUA